ACUUAAAGGAAAUUGAGGGGGGGCGGCACAACCCGUGGGGCCUCGGGUUUAUUUGAUCAACGCCGGACAUCUCACCAGGAGCGACAGCUGUAUGAUUACCAGGCUGAUGACCUUGUUUGACUAGCUGAGAGGAGGUGCAUGGCCGCCGUCAGCUCGUACCGUGAGGCGUCCUGUUAAGUCAGGCAACGAGCGAGACCCAA
RNAcentral lists this ribosomal RNA (200 nucleotides) under uncultured rumen archaeon. RNAcentral describes it as "partial 16S ribosomal RNA". It matches the Rfam family "Archaeal small subunit ribosomal RNA", at positions 854 to 1055 of the family's 1478-position model. The record is from RNAcentral.